AUUGAACGCUGGCGGCAGGCCUAACACAUGCAAGUCGAGCGGAUGAAGGGAGCUUGCUCCUGGAUUCAGCGGCGGACGGGUGAGUAAUGCCUAGGAAUCUGCCUGGUAGUGGGGGAUAACGUCCGGAAACGGGCGCUAAUACCGCAUACGUCCUGAGGGAGAAAGUGGGGGAUCUUCGGACCUCACGCUAUCAGAUGAGCCUAGGUCGGAUUAGCUAGUUGGUGGGGUAAAGGCCUACCAAGGCGACGAUCCGUAACUGGUCUGAGAGGAUGAUCAGUCACACUGGAACUGAGACACGGUCCAGAGUCCUACGGGAGGCAGCAGUGGGGAAUGUUGGACAAAGGGCGAAAGCCUGAUCCAGCCAUGCCGCGUGUGUGAAGAAGGUCUUCGGAUUGUAAAGAACUUUAAGUUGGGAGGAAGGGCAGUAAGUUAAUACCUUGCUGUUUUGACGUUACCAACAGAAUAAGCACCGGCUAACUUCGUG
Molecule: ribosomal RNA, 484 nt
Filed under: uncultured bacterium
Lineage: Bacteria
Description: partial 16S ribosomal RNA
Rfam family: Bacterial small subunit ribosomal RNA
Source: RNAcentral